UAUCGCUAUGACGAUUAAAAAUAUAAAAGUAGUGGACUGAAUAAUACAUUGAUGAGAGAAUUUAAUUCUGAGCGAUG
Small nucleolar RNA from Solanum verrucosum, 77 nucleotides. RefSeq annotates it as small nucleolar RNA R21. NCBI's taxonomy places the organism in Eukaryota, Viridiplantae, Streptophyta, Magnoliopsida, Solanales, Solanaceae. The transcript has a single exon. The record is from RefSeq and is a predicted model, not a curated record.